CCUGUUCCAAUCAUCCUUAUAUCGCGUUAAUGGAAUUUAUGAAAUUGCCUACCGUUCAAAUCGCUCUCUGUUGUUAGCACCACACUGAUUAACUACGAUGUUCCAAUUUUUUAGAAUUAUGUCCGACAUAAUUCUAAUUUUUGCUGUUACAGCAGAUAGUUAUGGUGUAAUGGCACGCAGGAAUAAGUCAUCCCUGUCCUCCAAAAAGCCCAUGAAAAGGUAUUUGGUAAGCUAUGUCUUUUCCAAUAUCAAAUCCAAUGUAUCACAAUCUGUGGACUUUCUACUCAAAAACUAGAUUGAUUAAUUGAUAAUUCAUUGCUGAUUGUUCACGCGCCCUGUAUGGAAGUAUAUAAAUGGUAAUCCGCAUACUCCAGGAAGAAUUGAAGCAAUCUCAAAAGAAAAGAAGGGAAUCUGGAUCCUUCGUCGGAUCGUCAAAGAGCUUAGAGGGGAGCUCUACGCUUCACUGGCCAUGCAAAGCAGGGAGAGUGACGGAGGCGGAGGCACUGCUGGCUGCUGGAACGGACAUUAACAAGCUGGACAGAACGCAGUUUAACCCUUUCAUGGACGCGAUCAACUCAGGACAGGUCGACUGUGCUAGAUGGCUGCUGAGGCAAGACGGUUUAAAGCUUCAGACCGAGAUAUGGUCGUUUUGUAGGGAGAGGGUGCUAGAGUCAUUGCUAACAGCUUAACAGAAGGUAGGGAGAGCGAUCCAUGGCUGUCCCGAUAGACCCACUCAGACUCCUGCCGGAAGAUACUCCUCCGGUUGAUCCAGAUGAGACAGUUCUAGCAGAUGAUCAGUUACAGACUGAAGAACAUAUCCCACAGAUCAAUGCGUCAACAUCUGCAAAUGAAGCUGAUAUCAGAAUCGACAUGAUGAUGGUACUACACGAGAUGCUCAUG
Molecule: long non-coding RNA, 900 nt
Organism: Bolinopsis microptera
Lineage: Eukaryota; Metazoa; Ctenophora; Tentaculata; Lobata; Bolinopsidae
Exons: 4
Source: RefSeq, a predicted model, not a curated record